This 226-nucleotide signal recognition particle RNA is filed under the name Lachnospiraceae bacterium. RNAcentral's name for it is "signal recognition particle sRNA large type". The stretch from base 29 to 221 matches the Rfam family "Bacterial large signal recognition particle RNA", at positions 63 to 249 of the family's 256-position model. Rfam says of the family: The signal recognition particle (SRP) is a universally conserved ribonucleoprotein involved in the co-translational targeting of proteins to membranes. Archaeal SRP consists of a 7S RNA and homologues of the eukaryotic SRP19 and SRP54 proteins. Lineage: Bacteria; Bacillati; Bacillota; Clostridia; Lachnospirales; Lachnospiraceae. The record is from RNAcentral.
CAAAACACUAUAAACUAUUAAUGUCGCGCAUCGGAUUAGGCGGGUGCUUCUGUGGCUGGCCUUUCUGUGCAGUGUUGAUGUUUGGGUCUUACGCAAAGCGAAGCUAUGAACCGUGUCAGGUCGGGAACGAAGCAGCACUAAGUAGUCAUUCCUUGUGCCGUAAGGGUGCCUGGCGGAGCUGCCUGAAGGGUAACGCACAGGAGUAUCCACUUAAUCCGAUGUUUUU